Molecule: ribosomal RNA, 468 nt
Filed under: uncultured bacterium
Lineage: Bacteria
Description: partial 16S ribosomal RNA
Rfam family: Bacterial small subunit ribosomal RNA
Source: RNAcentral
GACGAACGCUGGCGGCGUGCUUAACACAUGCAAGUCGAACGGAAAGGCCCUGCUUUUGUGGGGUGCUCGAGUGGCGAACGGGUGAGUAACACGUGAGUAACCUGCCCUUGACUUUGGGAUAACUUCAGGAAACUGGGGCUAAUACCGGAUAGGAGCUCCUGCUGCAUGGUGGGGGUUGGAAAGUUUCGGCGGUUGGGGAUGGACUCGCGGCUUAUCAGCUUGUUGGUGGGGUAGUGGCUUACCAAGGCUUUGACGGGUAGCCGGCCUGAGAGGGUUGCCGGCCACAUUGGGCCUGAGAUACGGCCCAGACUCCUACGGGAGGCAGAAGUGGGGAAUAUUGCACAAUGGGCGGAAGCCUGAUGCAGCAACGCCGCGUGCGGGAUGACGGCCUUCGGGUUGUAAACCGCUUUCGCCUGUGACGAAGCGUGAGUGACGGUAAUGGGUAAAGAAGCACCGGCUAACUACGUG